RNAcentral lists this long non-coding RNA (312 nucleotides) under Calidris pugnax (ruff). RNAcentral's name for it is "lncRNA (ENSCPUG00000011820.1)". The record is from RNAcentral. Lineage: Eukaryota; Metazoa; Chordata; Aves; Charadriiformes; Scolopacidae.
AUUUGAAUCACUGAGCUCUCUGAAAGGCUGAACCCUCUUGAAGCCUUCCUUCUGGGAAAGAAGAAACACUGACGUCUCCCGCAGAAAUCCCGUAAGUGCAGAGCCAGUUUUGUAGAGAUUGGUAUAGCAGAGCACAUUCUAAAACCCAAAAUGUUGCAUCAAGUGGAAGCCCUCUCUAACAGAAACUCAUGGAGAAACCAGCAAAAGCUCGUGAAAGCCUCCUGCUGCACCAAAACCCAGCAUUGCCUCCAUGAAGUACUUCGUACCUGACCACAGUUAAAAACCAGUCUGACUUCAAAGCAGAGAUAAAGG